GGGCACUCUAAGGUGACUGCCGGCUAAAAGUCGGAGGAAGGUGGGGAUGACGUCAAAUCAUCAUGCCCCUUAUGACCUGGGCUACACACGUGCUACAAUGGGCGGUACAAAGGGUUGCGAACCCGCGAGGGGGAGCCAAUCCCAAAAAGCCGCUCUCAGUUCGGAUUGCAGGCUGCAACUCGCCUGCAUGAAGCCGGAAUCGCUAGUAAUCGCGGAUCAGCAUGCCGCGGUGAAUACGUUCCC
RNAcentral lists this ribosomal RNA (243 nucleotides) under Anoxybacillus sp. ST4. RNAcentral describes it as "partial 16S ribosomal RNA". It matches the Rfam family "Bacterial small subunit ribosomal RNA", at positions 1133 to 1375 of the family's 1533-position model. The record is from RNAcentral. Lineage: Bacteria; Bacillati; Bacillota; Bacilli; Caryophanales; Anoxybacillaceae.